GGCAGCCCUCCCUGCGCCUCUGUGCCGCAGGUGCUCCCUGGGGUUGUGGGCAGGGGGCCCUUGUUCGUAGGAGCUGCCCCAUGCUGAUGGCAUCCAGCCUUCCCCGGUGUGAUUUGCCCCAUCCUGGUGGGAUCUGACCUUUCCCACUGGAGUCUGCCCCAUUCUGGUGAGAUCUACCCCUCCCCAGCAGGACCUGCCCAUGCUGGUGGGAUCUGGCCUUUCCCGAUAGAUUUUCCCCAUUCCAGUGGGAUCUGCCCCAUCCUGGUGCGAUCUGGCCUUUCCCAAUGGGCUUUUCCCCAUUCUGGUAGGAUCUGCUUCCCCAUUCCAGUGGGAUCUACCCCAUCCUGGUGGGAUCUGGUCUUUCCCAACAGGACCUGUCCCUUCCUGGUGGGAUUCCCAGCCCUAGCAUCUGGGGAGGAUGGGCAGCAGGUUGAAAAGCACUAGAGCAGCUCUUGGAAGCAGGGAUGUGGCAGGUGACCGCUUGUGAUGUGGUGGCCUUUUAUGCUUGUGGACACGUGUUCUUGGGACAGGGUGUUGGGGUGCAGCACCUGCCAUAGGGUGCGGGCAGGUCCCAGGUGCUGGCUUAACAUAAUAAGUAAGAACAAUAGAAAGUAGGCACUCGGGUUUAAAACCACGCGUCUGUUAGUGGCCAGCCUAAGCCUGGUGGUUAUGCUCGGUUGAAAGCUGGGUGUAAAACAGGCCUUGAAGAGCAGCACUUGCUCCGGGAUGAAAGACGUGGAAAUAGCGUGUCAGCUAGACGUGGAGAAAGAUGACCACACAGAGCUUGAGCACGUGUUGCAGCCAGCCUGUUUGUGUGUACUUUAGAAGCGUUGUGGGGAGGAGGACUCAGUGUGUUGCUUUAAUUCACCUCUGAUGCUCUGCCUGUUGCUCUUAGUCAUAGGGGAAAAAGAGCGAGAGCUGGAGACUGCCUUCCUUCCUGCAGUGCAUUUAUCGUGGCCGCAGCAGCCAGAGAAAAGGCCGCGUAACAGAAGCUGCAAACGUUCACGAAGAUGCAUUUUUCAGCUGCAGAGAGUGACACUUCCCCUCUUGAGGAGUGUGCAGUGGUGUAGGACUCUCUUGGUCAAACGUUUGUCAACAUCCUUCAGAUCUUUCACUUGGAGUCAAAACAUGCUGAGUCCAGUGGGUAAUUAUGCCCUGGGAAGCGCUGCUGAACUCUGCUGCGUUUUGCAGGAGUUCCUGGUGGCAGAAUUUCUCUUCUUCUAAACAAUGAAUUGGAGGCAUCAUCCCCAUCUUAGUGAUGUUUUCUGCAAAUGCAGCUGGAAGAAGCGUUC
Struthio camelus australis is the source of this 1292-nucleotide long non-coding RNA. The record is from Ensembl. Lineage: Eukaryota; Metazoa; Chordata; Aves; Struthioniformes; Struthionidae.